Molecule: ribosomal RNA, 445 nt
Filed under: uncultured Vibrio sp.
Lineage: Bacteria; Pseudomonadati; Pseudomonadota; Gammaproteobacteria; Vibrionales; Vibrionaceae
Description: bacterial SSU rRNA
Rfam family: Bacterial small subunit ribosomal RNA
Source: RNAcentral
GGGAGGCAGCAGUGGGGAAUAUUGCACAAUGGGCGCAGGCCUGAUGCAGCCAUGCCGCGUGUAUGAAGAAGGCCUUCGGGUUGUAAAGUACUUUCAGCAGUGAGGAAGGGGUGUACGUUAAUAGCGUGCAUCCUUGACGUUAGCUGCAGAAGAAGCACCGGCUAACUCCGUGCCAGCAGCCGCGGUAAUACGGAGGGUGCGAGCGUUAAUCGGAAUUACUGGGCGUAAAGCGCAUGCAGGUGGUUCGUUAAGUCAGAUGUGAAAGCCCGGGGCUCAACCUCGGAACUGCAUUUGAAACUGGCGGGCUAGAGUACUGUAGAGGGGGGUAGAAUUUCAGGUGUAGCGGUGAAAUGCGUAGAGAUCUGAAGGAAUACCAGUGGCGAAGGCGGCCCCCUGGACAGAUACUGACACUCAGAUGCGAAAGCGUGGGGAGCGAACAGGAUUA